CUACGGGUGGCAGCAGUCGAGAAUCUUCCGCAAUGGGCGAAAGCCUGACGGAGCGACGCCGCGUGCUCGAAGAAGCCCCUCGGGGUGUAAAGAGCUUUUCUCUGCGAAUAAACUUGGGUUGAAGGUAACAGAGGAAUAAGGGGAGGCAAAUCACGUGCCAGAAGCCUCGGUAAUGCGUGAUCCCCAAGCGUUAUCCGGAUUAAUUGGGCGUAAGGCGUUCGUAGGCGUCCCGCCAAGUUUUUUGUUAAAUAUCAAGGCUCAACCUUGAAACUGCAAAAAAAACUGGCGGGAUAGAGGGCGUUAGAGGCUGAUGGAACGGUCGGUGUAGGGGUGAAAUCCGUUGAUAUCGACCGGAACACCGAAAGCGAAGGCAUUCAGCUGGGGCGACCCUGACGCUGAGGGACGAAAGCGUGGGUAGCGAACGGGAUUAGAUACCCCGGUAGUC
This 445-nucleotide ribosomal RNA is filed under the name uncultured bacterium. RNAcentral's name for it is "partial 16S ribosomal RNA". It matches the Rfam family "Bacterial small subunit ribosomal RNA", at positions 339 to 795 of the family's 1533-position model. The record is from RNAcentral.